AUGCAGCUUGAUCUUGUUACUCGUUGCCAAAUAUUUGGGUGUGCCUUUGGCAAGUGAGAUAAAAGAGGUUAUAAAAAGGCUUUAACACUGUUAGAUUUUAAAUGGGUGGGCUGGGCAAUGUUGUAUCUAAUACAAUUCUGCCAGUUCUGCUGCAGAUAGCAGAGAACUGUACCUGAUAUUAAAAGAAAAUUACUUCAUCACAUAUAACAGAUAGUAACAUAUCUUCUGUCUAUUGAGCCGCAGUGGCGCCAUGGGUUUUAUGCUGGUCAAACUGCUUACCUGAAGGUUGGGUUGCUGACCUGAAAGUUGCCGAUUUGAAUCCUUGAGAUGGGACUUGUUGUCGACCGCGUUUUAGGGGAUCGGGCCCUUAAGGAGAGACCCGAUCCGGUCCUGAGAGAACGGACCUUGGCGAAGCCAAAAGGAGAAUUAUGAGCCGCAAUACAACCUGAAGCCGAAAUGAAGAAGGUCCGCCAAAGUUGAAGGAAAAUCCGCCAAGGAGUCUUUAUUGAGCAAUUCAGCUGAAGAGGACUCUAGUAGCGAUCAUUCGGUCUACUAGGGUACCAUACAAUCAAAAUAAAGCCAUACUUAUACAAAAUUUCAGUCUGACAACCCUUUGAAUUUCCCGCCCUGCUUCCCCGCCCAUCUGAUCGUUGAUAGGCUAGAAGGUUGAACGAGGCGGGCUUUCGUUUCCCGCCUUGCUCCGUUGGCCCAAUAGGAAGCUGCCUUUUGUCUCUACUCGGGCCAAUCAGGAAAGAGAAGGCGGGAGUUAUCGAAACAAUGAGGUGACGGGACAGGAACUAGCGGAUUAAGUCCUGCUAGACCGAUUUCU
RNAcentral lists this long non-coding RNA (829 nucleotides) under Anolis carolinensis (green anole). RNAcentral describes it as "lncRNA (ENSACAG00000034177.2)". The record is from RNAcentral. Lineage: Eukaryota; Metazoa; Chordata; Lepidosauria; Squamata; Anolidae.